RNAcentral lists this non-coding RNA (864 nucleotides) under Pan troglodytes (chimpanzee). RNAcentral also lists the same sequence under 1 other name. The record is from RNAcentral. Lineage: Eukaryota; Metazoa; Chordata; Mammalia; Primates; Hominidae.
CUCUGUGACUGGCUUGCUUGAUGGUUAGGGUCUGAUCGCUGCCUGAGACACCAUAUCGGUACUCCUCAGAGUUGAGAAUAGACGCCUUGAUGGCUCCUCUGGCAGUUCUUGAUGACCAUGGAUGAGCUAAUGGCUGUGGUCUCAAUGGUGGCUUCUUGAGUUACAUCUUUGAGAGGGGUGAGGAAUUUGAGCCGGAUUCCUAUCAAGAAAAAAAAGAAAGAACUUAUUAAUUGAAGCACUUUAAAGAAGAAAUAUAAAACUAAAGGCAAAAAAAAUGAUUUUGGGGUGGACUAUUUGAUAAAACUAUUUACCUUCAAUGAUCAGUUUGCCACUUGUGUGCUUAUCUUCAGCUUCAAACAUGUAUUUUGCUUCAUCUUCAAAAGCAGCUGACUUGAUCACCAUUGAAUGCUUAGUGCCAUCCUUUAUAAGCUCAAAUCUGUCAUCACCUGUGAUUUCCUGGGUUCCUUUUAGCCAACGGAAUGUUUUGGGCUCCCUGGAUACUUCACACUCAAACUUAGCCUCAUCUUUCUCGAAGACUUUAACAUCACUGAGAGGUGUGAUGAAGAUAAGAGGCAAUUCUGAAAGAAGUGGACAGUGGAUGAAGUCAGAAUACGUUUCCAUUGAUGACCCUUGAUCAAUGCAGGGGUGUAUCAGGAAGUCUUGCAGAGAAAAUACAAAAACGUGGCUGACAAGUAGAGCAUACCUUUCACUUUCAGAUUGGCUGCAGAUUUGGCAUUAGCAGCCUGGAAGGAAACCUCUCCUGUCAUACCCAGCUGACAGUUAUGAAGGAUCAGAAUAUGCUUCUUUCCAUCCUCAAUGAUUUCACAGUCCUGUUUGGAGUGAGGGUUAGAAGGAAAGAAAGAA